UCUCUCUCCCCCUAUCUUCUUUCUUCUUUCUUCUUUCUUCUCUCUCUACCCGCCUCCCUCAAUCGCAGAAGCCAUCCCCCUUCCGUCGCUCUCUCUCCGGCUCGACGCCGCCGUCGGAGCUGCCGCGGCGGUCGCCAGGAAGUCGCCAGCUGCUGCUGCCUCGCCGCCUCUGUCCGUCCGCCGUCGCAGAGUCGCCGGGAGAAGCUGCUGCCGCAGCGAGGAGGAACGCCGCCGUCGCCCGCUGCAGCUCGCCGUCGGCCACCGCUGCUGCUCCGUCGGCGUCGGUCGUCGCUCCUGGAGUGGAGGCAACCCAGCCGCUGGAGCGGCCACCCUCCUGCCGUCUCCGGGAGUCCAGCCGCCGGCCAGGCACCGCGCAGCCCCGAACACGCCCGGAACCACCCCGAAACGUCCCGCAAUAUAUGUUAUCAUUAUAAAGAUUAAUGAGGAAGAUGGAAGGUUUGAAAAGGCGGAGGGUCUCCAUGAACAAAGGAACCGGCAGAGAGGGAAGGAAAAAGAAGGAAGAAGAGUUCUUGGGCUUACCCCAUUUUCUUGGAGAGAUAUUGGGCUCCAAUUAAAUUAAUUACAUGUUGUUGGGCUCAAAUGUUGUAAGCCCAAGUUGGUGUUACUAUUAUUAUUUAGUGGAUUUAAAAUAAUUAUGGUCCAAGCUAUUUGUAGACAAUUGGACCCUAAUUAAAUUUGAAAAGCCCAAAA
Molecule: long non-coding RNA, 711 nt
Organism: Salvia splendens (bonfire salvia)
Lineage: Eukaryota; Viridiplantae; Streptophyta; Magnoliopsida; Lamiales; Lamiaceae
Exons: 2
Source: RefSeq, a predicted model, not a curated record